CGCUGAUUGGUUGUGCCGCCCCAAAGGGCAUAAGCGAUCUGCGUGUGUGUGGCGAAGCGGGAAGGGGUUGGGAGAAAUAUUGCCUGGAGGCAAUAGACGACACCAGGCCUUCCCAUAAGCUCCAUGAAAAUGAUGAGAAUGACUUCCAAGGCUGUGAGUUGUGGCUGAUGAGAGAAGCUAAGAGCAAUCUCAAAACUAAUUGAUGGAGCUGCAUGGAACAUAGAUUUGGAUGCAUCUUUAGUCAGGUGCAGGGACAUGUAAUGCUCCUCUUAGGUGUCGUGCUGACAGGAGCAACAGAAAGCAGUAGACAGGUAACUUUUUAAAGGAUUGCAUGCUUUUUAUUUUCUGUAUUUUUUUUUUAUUUUUCAUUCAUAGUCAUAGAACCAUUAACUGGACAAAAUCAGUAUUUGCCACCUGGACUUUCUGUGAGCAACUUUGUCCACGUGCCUACCUCGAGCAUUCCCGCCACAGGCAGCUUAGUACUAUCCCAAAUUCAGGCAUUGAAAAUCGGUAUGAAGCAUCUGUAAGACCCCUGCAGAAUAAUGGUGAGAGUUACCCAGGCACCCUCCUUUGGAAAGCUGAAGUGACUGUAAGCUCUUAAGCUGUGCCAUAACUCCUCCCAUUGUGCUGACUCAGCUCUCCCUGUCUUUUGUGUGGAGGAGCUGGACUUGCAUUCCUUCCUGUUUUCUUGCCUAUCUGCUGCCUGCUUUGCAUGUGGCCCAAUGAGCCUUUUAUUCCUCACACCCAGAUUUGCAUGUGUAGAUAAGGGCACCUCUUUAUGUAUGUUUAUUUUCUGCUUGUGGUGUCAGGCUGAGUGACAGCUCACAACUGAGCUUGUGGUUAGCGAGACACAAUAGCUGGAGAUGCAGUUCUGUGUGUCACUAAAACAUGAGCUUCAUUGCUGCCAUGAGCAAAGAAACAGUUUGUGUCUUUUAUUUCUGUGUUUGGCUGAGCAGUUAGAGCAGGGUAAGGAGGCUGAUUUGGACAUGCUGCUUUCAAAAUACAGUGCUGUAUGUGUAGCAGUGCUUCUUGUGUGAAAAAUUCUGUAACUGUGAGAUAUAAAUUGAUUCUUUGGAAUCUGUUUAGUUGACUUGUGCUGGUUUCUUUCUCCUACUGAAUCCUUCCAGCACACUUCUGUGCAUAGCUGUGGCUUUUGCUUCCUCCUUUCACAGCAUCACGGCCCAUUCCAGUGCUUGACCACUCUUUCAGAAGAGUAGUAUUUCUCAAAGUCCAGCCUAAAUCUCCUCCUUUCUUUGUUGUGUUUCACACUUUGCAAGCUGUGAAUUGCCAGGGAACAGUUCAAUGUGCUCUGGAGUUUAGGGGCACAAACUCCCAACAAACACCAUGUGGUUUCAAACCUCAAGUUCAGAAAGAUGAGAGAUUUGCAGUGCUCUGCCUGGUGCAGGAAUGAUGUGCUCUGCAAGGCGCUUUCCAGGAAGGCCUCAGA
This is a long non-coding RNA of Lagopus muta (rock ptarmigan), 1447 nucleotides long. RefSeq lists it as uncharacterized. The transcript is spliced from 3 exons. The record is from RefSeq and is a predicted model, not a curated record. Lineage: Eukaryota; Metazoa; Chordata; Aves; Galliformes; Phasianidae.